UGAUGCUGGCAAGGGAGAAUCGAAUAUGG
RNAcentral lists this non-coding RNA (29 nucleotides) under Mus musculus (house mouse). Lineage: Eukaryota; Metazoa; Chordata; Mammalia; Rodentia; Muridae. The record is from RNAcentral.